GGGCUGACAAGAACCACUUCCCAAGACCCAGAAUGCCUGGAGAGGACACGGGGAAGGAAGGAGCAGCUGUGAGGGACAUUCAGUCUCCAUGCAGAGCCCAG
RNAcentral lists this small RNA (101 nucleotides) under Pongo abelii (Sumatran orangutan). Its description in RNAcentral is "processed transcript". The record is from RNAcentral. Lineage: Eukaryota; Metazoa; Chordata; Mammalia; Primates; Hominidae.